RNA transcript from Ostrinia furnacalis (Asian corn borer), 2807 nucleotides. It is a transcript of the gene named monocarboxylate transporter 14, with no coding region annotated. The record is from RefSeq and is a predicted model, not a curated record. Lineage: Eukaryota; Metazoa; Arthropoda; Insecta; Lepidoptera; Crambidae. The transcript is spliced from 6 exons.
GCGCGCGCUUCGGCCACUCAACGCGAGCGUCCGCGCUAGUUUGGCCUGAACCGCGACCGAUGUCAUAUCUCAUCCUAUAGUUCCUUUUUCUAGAACGUUUCGCCCAAAUUCCUACGGGAAAUACUGAAGUUAACCAAGACGUACAAAACUAAGUGAAGCGAUACAAAUUGUUUAAAAAAAUGUGCUAGUGCGUUUUGUUUGUGUGAUCAUGUGGUUUUUUACGGUGUGUUGGCAAACCGUGCGAAACAGGUGACAGUGCCAAAAUGGCUUGCGCGGAGCAUGAGGUCACGGCGGUGUGGUGUCCGCAUGGAAGCCCGGCGGACUGGUGAGCUCGCGCUGCACCCGCUGCGAGCGCAGUUCCGCCGCGCCCUGCCGGAAUGGACCGCGCGGGCCUCCCGUCGCCGCCGCACUGCGCGAACCAUCGGCCGCUCCAAGGAGGACCCCGCGAAACCCUCGAUACCGCAGCCCCGCCCGCGGAGGCCCUAAGCGACCCAGAGACUCCGCGGCCCGCGCCGCGCGCGCUUCCCUCCAUACCCGAGAGCGAGCCGUUGCUCCGCGCGCCGCUCAGUGCCAGUGCGAUCAGUGAGAAUGCCGCGCGCAAGGCCGGGCGGCCGCUGCACGUGCAGUUCGACGCGCAGUCGCCGCCCGCGCCCGUUUCCAGCUCCAGCUCCAGCGCCAGCUCCUCCGACGACGAGGACGUGUCCAUCGCCGAGGCCCGCCCGCCCGACGGCGGCUUCGGCUGGGUCGUCGUGUUCGCCUCCUUCCUCGUCAACCUCAUCGCCGACGGGAUCACGUUCAGCUUCGGCGUGUUCUUCCCGCACUUCCUGGAGUACUUCGGCGAGGGCAAGGGCAAGACGGCCUGGAUCGCCGGCAUCUUCAUGGCCAUGCCGCUGCUGUCCGGGCCCAUCGCCAGCUUCCUCACGGACCGCUACGGCUGCCGACGCAUGACCAUCUUCGGCUCCAUCCUGGCGACGCUCGGCUUCGUCAUCUCCGCCUUCGUGGACAGCAUGGAGACGCUGUUCCUGACGUUCGGCAUCAUGGCCGGCUUCGGCCUCAGUUUGUGUUACGUAGCAGCAGUAGUGAUAGUAGCGUAUUAUUUUGACAAGAAACGCUCUCUGGCAACUGGGAUAUCAGUUUGUGGGAGCGGCAUCGGGACAUUCAUAUUCGCGCCGCUGACGUACGUCUUGUUGGACGAGUACGGGUGGCGAGGAACUACUUUGAUAUUAGCCGGACUAUUCCUAAACAUAGCCGUGUGCGGUAUGUUGUUCAGAGACUUGCCCUGGACGACGACGAUGAACGCAGAGAAAGCUAGAGAAAGAAAGCGCAGAAGAGAGAGGAAAAGAAACAAGCGCUACGGAUCCUCAGCUGACAGUUUUUCAGACAGCAAGAGUAGCGCAGCAGGGUCUGCCAAAGUGGCGGAAGCAGGGGACGUGGAAGUGGUGACGUCUCCGAUUGUUCCGCAGUUCAGUUCUUUGGUAGAUCUUCCAACAUUCAUGACGGGAGGCGAAGGCGUGUCGCUCGAAGUGUUCGAGUUGAUGUCGAACAGAGGUCGGGCGUACGCCAUGUUGGCUCAGAACUACCCGGGCGUGAUGCUUCCCUCCCGAAGUUUCAGUGACAGUGGGCGUCUGCACGAGCAGUCGCCGCCUCGAGCUUUGAUGUCUCCGGGGGUGACUUCUCCGGGGGCUUUGUCUCCGACGGCCCCUCGGCCUCCUGAGACCAAUAACACCUCUGCUCCUCCCCCUCUUAGUGACAAGGCUGCUAUGUCCUUGUGGCUGCGACGGCAGACUGCCACGGGCGCGUCCACCAAGAAGCCGCCGGCCUUCCUGAAGGACCUGAAGCUGCACCGGCACUCGCUGACGUACAGAGGCGCCAUGCUCAACAUCAACCGCUACAGAUUAAGAGCCUCGUCCUGCCCAAACAUUUUCAGGAAUUCGAUGACUACUAUUGCUAAAGAAAAGGUUCAAUGGUACGCCGGCCUAUGGGAUUUCUGGGACCUCGUGGUAGAUGUCCUGGACUUCUCUCACUUCCUCAACCCGGCUUUCCUGGUGUUCGCGAUAUCCAACUUCUUACUAUACAUGUGGUACGACGUGCCGUAUGUGUAUAUAGCUGAUAACGCCUUGAAGAUGGGCUUCAACGAGUCGCAGUCGUCUAUGCUGAUAUCGAUCAUUGGGAUCUUGAACAUGUUUGGAGAGAUCCUGCUGGGCUGGGUGGGCGACUGGGAGUGCGUAGACGCGAGCCUGGUGUAUGCAGGCUGCAUGGUUCUGUGUGGCCUGGUCACGCUGAUCAUGCCGUUGCUCUCCGGCUACGCGGCUUUGGGCGCGGCCGCUGGAGCCUUCGGCAUGUUCAUCGCGGCUAACUACUCGCUAACGAGUAUUAUACUGGUGGAGCAGAUCACGCUGGAGAAGUUUACGAAUGCCUAUGGAUUGUUGCUGCUGAUGCAGGGCGCUGCGAAUCUGAUGGGACCGCCCUUAGCUGGCUGGGUGUACGAUAUGACGGACUCCUACGACCUGUCCUUCUACCUGGCUGGAGUCUUCAUCGGGAUCUCCGGUCUUAUCCUGCUGGUGCUGCCUCUGCGGCGACUCUUCACGCGCCGUUCCCGCCGCGCUCACCUGGCUAACGUCGCUAAAGUGGCUAACGGCGGCCUGAAACAGAACGGCAACCUGCUUGUGUGAGGCAACUUUGGUAAAGGGCAAUAUUGCCAAUAAAUUGGAUUUGUAAAGCAAGAUUGUCAUAACAUGCAUAACAUAACAAGACGGAAACGUAGCUAUUGUUGUAUCAAAUAUAAUAGGGCAAUAAAUUCAGAUUUA